RNAcentral lists this ribosomal RNA (489 nucleotides) under uncultured bacterium. RNAcentral's name for it is "partial 16S ribosomal RNA". It matches the Rfam family "Bacterial small subunit ribosomal RNA", at positions 28 to 507 of the family's 1533-position model. The record is from RNAcentral.
GACGAACGCUGGCGGCGUGCUUAACACAUGCAAGUCGAACGGAAAGGCCCUGCUUUUGUGGGGUGCUCGAGUGGCGAACGGGUGAGUAACACGUGAGUAACCUGCCCUUGACUUUGGGAUAACUUCAGGAAACUGGGGCUAAUACCGGAUAGGAGCUCCUGUUGCAUGGUGGGGGUUGGAAAGUUUCGGCGGUUGGGGAUGGACUCGCGGCUUAUCAGCUUGUUGGUGGGGUAGUGGCUUACCCAGGCGUAGGCGGGUAGCCGGCCUGAGAGGGUGAUCGGCCACACUGGGCCUGUGAGACGGCCCAGACUUCUACGGGAGGCAGCAGUAGGGAGUCUUCGGCAAUGGCCGGGAGUCUGACCGAGCAACGCCGCGUGAGUGCAGAAGGUUUUCGGAUCGUAAAGCUCUGUUGUCAGCGAAGAACGAGUGUGAGAGUGGAAAGUUCACACUGUGACGGUAUCUUAACAGAAAGGGACGGCUAACUACGUG